GCUUCAAGAGGUCCAGUUAUUAAACAUGAGUGUGGAAGGAGAAGAACUCCAGCUGGUUCAUGAAACUUAUGACCCGUUUCCUGACGAUCUCCCAGCUGUGAUCUCUGUCCUCCUGAAAGAGUAAAACAACAUCUUUCAAAAUACAGAUGCAACUUUUUGUUCCUCUUCAUUUUGUAAGCCCCCUGCAUUGAGAGAGAAAUCAAUCAGUUCCUCUGGCUUGAUGCUGCUGGUAUUAAACAUGCAGUAUACACACACUGUACUCACACAUGAGUGCAGUCCAUCGAUCUCCUCAUGCACGACAUCUAAGAAAUCUUCAAGUUUUUUAGCAUCCCAGGGGACGACGGCAUCGUCAAAGAGGACAGUGAUCUCCACCAGAGCCUGAAUGACGAACAGGAUCUGUUUCUCAGGCUGAGAAGAAGAAAAAAAGACAUAUGAAUAUAGAUUCGUAAUCAACAGCACAUACAGUAUCAUGGUGUCUUUUUAAAAUAAUAAUAAUAAUAGUAAUUUUUACUAA
Long non-coding RNA from Carassius gibelio (silver crucian carp), 514 nucleotides. RefSeq lists it as uncharacterized. NCBI's taxonomy places the organism in Eukaryota, Metazoa, Chordata, Actinopteri, Cypriniformes, Cyprinidae. The transcript has 2 exons. The record is from RefSeq and is a predicted model, not a curated record.